RNAcentral lists this ribosomal RNA (253 nucleotides) under uncultured bacterium. RNAcentral's name for it is "partial 16S ribosomal RNA". It matches the Rfam family "Bacterial small subunit ribosomal RNA", at positions 524 to 776 of the family's 1533-position model. The record is from RNAcentral.
UACGUAGGGGGCUAGCGUUGUCCGGAAUCAUUGGGCGUAAAGAGCGUGUAGGCGGCUCGGUAAGUCCGCUGUGAAAGUCCAGGGCUCAACCCUGGAAUGCCAGUGGAAACUGUCGAGCUAGAGUCCGGAAGAGGCGAGUGGAAUUCCUGGUGUAGCGGUGAAAUGCGCAGAUAUCAGGAGGAACACCAAUGGCGAAGGCAGCUCUCUGGGACGGUACUGACGCUGAGACGCGAAAGCGUGGGGAGCGAACAGG